Molecule: RNA transcript, 1902 nt
Organism: Folsomia candida
Lineage: Eukaryota; Metazoa; Arthropoda; Collembola; Entomobryomorpha; Isotomidae
Gene name: coiled-coil domain-containing protein 25
Exons: 5
Source: RefSeq, a predicted model, not a curated record
CAGUCAUAGAGAGCGACUGUCUCACUGUGAUACUGACUACCAAAAAUUCAAACUGCACCAAACGAAAUUUAGCCGUGCACAUGUUUAGUCACUAGUCAACACUCGAAGUGAGAUAGUCUCUCUCUCAAUUAUAUUUGUAAAGUACUUAAAUUAACCGGUGCUAUUAUAAAAUGGAAGUUUCAAGUCAAAGUAGUAAUACCAGUGUGGACAAUAAGUUAAAGUGUACAAUAUGCGGAAAAAAAUAUUCGAAAAAAUCUAAUCUAAAAAAACAUGUGGCGUCCGUUCAUACAGAAACGCAUCGUUUCCAAUGUAGGAAUUGUGAAGUGUAUUUUUCGGAAAACGCUACACUACAAAAACAUUUAAAUCGUCAAAUCUGUUUAAUUAAGAAGGACAAGAAACUGAAGGAAAUUACGUAUGAUUGUAAAGUGUGCAAAAGAAAGUUUGGUGCUCGGCAUGUCCUCAAUUUACAUAUCAAGCAAAACCACCCUGAAAACUAUUAUAAAUAUAACUGUAGUCAAUGUGAUGUUAUGUUUAGCUCGAAAAAAGGUCUCCAUGGCCAUGUGGAUACCGUUCACAAUAACAAUAAACCCAAGUGUUUAAUUUGUGGAUUGGAAUUCUACGACAAAUAUAAAUUAAAUAGACAUAUAGAAAAUGUCCAUUCACCAAAUGCUAUGAAAAAGAGGGAUGAAAAAUUAGCAGCAAGGUCUGAAGCAGAGUUAAACAGAGAAGUUUAUCGCAAGUUGAAGUCAGAUCCCUGUCACACUUUAGUCAACUCAACAGUUGAUCCCAGUGAACACUAUUAUUUAAAAUUAAAUAAGAAACAACGCGAACGGGUCAACAUUCAGAAAAUGUUAAAACCCGUCGUGAAGGAACCAGUCAUAGGCCAGCAUCAUAUCAGAGGUUGGGGAUACACUUCUGAGGGAAAUGAGUGUCCCAUCAAUUACGUCAAGUUGACAGAUGAACAAAGAAGAAGUUCACACCAAGUUUAUGGAUAUGUGUGGCGUGACGGUAAAACUUUCGAGAUUGUGGAGGUGUAUUAUGGGAUGACGUGUGAUACAGCUAUUAACGGAGCAAUUGUUAAGUGGACUAAGAUUAAAGCUUCGACAGACAAGGGUUGUUCAGACAGACGGAUGUAUGACGACGGUCAUUUUUUUUGUCCUGAAGAGGCGUUUUUGAUUGAGGGGAUGGUUGGACAUCAAAAAUGGGUGGUAGGACAACUCAAGUGGUUAACUAGGAACGAGGCCGGAGGAAUUUGUUCCGUCAACCCCAAAGAGUGCUACAAAUGGCUGGAUAACUAUGUGGGACAAAUUAGAGAGGCGUUGACCAGAGCCAACCACUUGUGGCUUGAUCAUCCCGACCCAAACAUCCCAACCUCAAAUUCCCAGAAAAAUGCUGAUGAUAAAGCGCAAGACCAUGACCUCGAGGAAGAAAACAGGACACUCCAAGCAUUACUCUCAGUGCGAGAAACACGAAUUGAACAACUUGAAUCCGAUAUGGAAAUGUUGAAGACUCAGUUUGAACGAGAUAUUCAAGCCAAGGAAGAGGAACGUAAAACGCUCCUUCAACAAUUGCGCGACACCGAGACAAAGUUGGAGAAUGAACGUGAAAACAAAGUCGCUGUUGGCAAAGACCGAAAAAAACGCGUCUCCUUAUUAUCCACUUCUCCUUAUACUAUACGCCUCGGAAUAUCAAAGACACGGCGUCCGCUCAAUCCGUUCCAGCCAUUUCGUCGCUCCAAUAAUUAAUUUACCGAGCAUUUUAAGACUCCGGGGAUGGAAGUUGGUCAAGUCGGAUUCCAUGUGGACAAGGAUGUGAAGCUAGUUAAAAACGUUCCAAAAAGAACUGAGAUUUGCAAGAGAUUGGAGAAGACAAAGUCUGAGAACAUGAAAUUAGAUUUCCGAA